GAGCAUUGCUCUCUUACGAUGCAGUCUGACGGAGUCAUCAUUUUUGAAGCAAUUAGCUUGCUAAGGGUGGAAAUGUUGGUGACUUAGUGGCGGACGGGUGAGUAACGCGUGGGUAACCUGCCAUAUACAGGGGGAUAACACUUAGAAAUAGGUGCUAAUACCGCAUAAGCGCACAGGACCGCAUGGUCUGGAGUGAAAAACAUUAGUGGUAUAUGAUGGACCCGCGUCUGAUUAGCUGGUUGGUGAGGUAACGGCCCACCAAGGCGACGAUCAGUAGCCGGCCUGAGAGGGUGGACGGCCACAUUGGGACUGAGACACGGCCCAAACUCCUACGGGAGGCAGCAGUGGGGGAUAUUGGACAAUGGGGGGAACCCUGAUCCAGCGACGCCGCGUGAGUGAAGAAGUAUCUCGGUAUGUAAAGCUCUAUCAGCAGGGAAGAAAGAAAUGACGGUACCUGAGUAAGAAGCCCCGGCUAACUACGUGCCAGCAGCCGCGGUAAUACGUAGGGGGCAAGCGUUAUCCGGAAUUACUGGGUGUAAAGGGAGCGUAGACGGUGAAGUAAGUCUGGAGUGAAAGGCGGGGGCCCAACCCCCGGACUGCUCUGGAAACUAUUUGACUGGAGUGCAGGAGAGGUAAGCGGAAUUCCUAGUGUAGCGGUGAAAUGCGUAGAUAUUAGGAGGAACACCAGUGGCGAAGGCGGCUUACUGGACUGUAACUGACGUUGAGGCUCGAAAGCGUGGGGAGCAAACAGGAUUAGAUACCCUGGUAGUCCACGCCGUAAACGAUGAUCACUAGGUGUCGGUGGGUAUGGACCCAUCGGUGCCGCAGCCAACGCAGUAAGUGAUCCACCUGGGGAGUACGUUCGCAAGAAUGAAACUCAAAAGGAAUUGACGGGGACCCGCACAAGCGGUGGAGCAUGUGGUUUAAUCCGAAGCAACGCGAAGACCUUACCAGUCUUGACAUCCUCCUGAUACAGGUAAUGCCUGUAGCCUUCGGACAG
RNAcentral lists this ribosomal RNA (1000 nucleotides) under uncultured bacterium. Its description in RNAcentral is "bacterial SSU rRNA". It matches the Rfam family "Bacterial small subunit ribosomal RNA", at positions 11 to 1025 of the family's 1533-position model. The record is from RNAcentral.